This 2607-nucleotide long non-coding RNA is filed under the name Homo sapiens (human). RNAcentral describes it as "HSALNT0096395". Lineage: Eukaryota; Metazoa; Chordata; Mammalia; Primates; Hominidae. The record is from RNAcentral.
CCGCUGUCUCAGGCAAUGGACUAAUUCAUGGAGUGUACUGUAGUCUGAGCUCCCUGAUCAGCCGCGGGGAGGAACUCCUGAGAACUGAGAAAUGACUGUUUAAUGAACAAAGAGAGAAGUGACAAUGAGACUGCCCUGUCCAGAGACUCCCAAAUAAAGAAGGAGUCUCUGUAAUGACAUCUCCUGUGACAUUCCUGAUACACCACCUGGAAGGAGAGAAGAUGGUAGUCUGAAAGGGACAGAAUGAGAGAGGGAGCUGGAGAAAGAAAUGAAUAAACACGAAUGCAUCUGGAGAAUGAGGCAUCUUGGAAUCUGGAAAGUGAGGCAUCCUGGAAGAGAGAUGAAGGUUCAAGCUCCAAGAUGUCCAGAACCAAACGCGAAGAAGAAUUAAUGAAAUGGAUAUAUGCAAAACUCGUCAAGAUUCUCAUUUGGCUACAGCAAAUUAUUUGGCGAGUUGAAAGUUUAGUUGUGUUAAUGAUAUGCUACACCUUCUAUACCUGUAAUGUGCCAAAAAUAACUGAACACUUUAGAUUUCUCUUUAAAUCCAGUAAUAAUCCAUUAAAGAGAUAAAGGUGCCAAUGUGCAGGCAAGUAAACCACAUUGCCAAGUAUACAAGCUAAUACAUUUCCCAGGAUGGAUUUAGAGUUUCCUAUUUCAAGCAAAAUUUACAGAAAGUUAAAUGCACAAAUCUUCAGUGCACAAUUACACGAGUUUAGCAACUAUAUACAUCCAUGUAAACAACACUAUCAUGAUGCAGAACAUUUUUAUCACCCAGGAAAUUACUUCAUGUCCCCUUCCAGUCAAUCCACUCUCCACAGGAAACAACUAGAGUUCUGAUUUUUAUCAUUAUGUACUAGAACUUCACAUCUUAGGAAAUCAUAUAGUGCUGUCUCAUUUGUUUCUUGCUAGUUUAGGCAGUAUCAUUUUUUUGAAAUCCAUUCAUAUUGUUCCAUGUUAUCAGUAAUUUGUUACCUUGAUGUAGCUGAGGAGUAUUCCAUUAUAUGAAUAUACCACAACUUAUGUACCCAUUGUACUCUUGACAUUGGCUAUUGUUAGUAAAGCUUUUGGCUAUUUACUAGUAAAGCUGCUAUAAACAUGCUCAAGUCUUGUUGUAGAAACAUUUUCAUUUCUCAUAGGUAAAUAGUCAGGGAUGGAAUUUCUGAGUCACAACAGAGGUAUAUGCUUAACUUUAUGAAAAUCAUCAAGCUGUUUUCCAAACUGGAUGCUCCAUUACCUACUUCUCUGAGUAAGAUCUGGGAGUUCCACUUACUCCACAUCCUCACCAACAUUUGUUGUUGCCACAACGAAGUGGUGCAAUAGUUUAUUUUUAUUUUCGUUUACAUUUCUCUGAUGAUUAAUGAUAUCAAGCACAUUUUCAUGUGCAAUUCACCAUUUUUUUUAAAUGUCCAAAACUUUCAUUCAGUUGUAAAAAAAAACAACAGUAUCUUUUUAUUAAUGGUUUGCUCUUGUUCUGGGUGAAGUUCAUCAUCGAAUAUAUAUUGCUAAUAUUUUUUCCCACAUUACAGCUAAACUUUUAAUUUUCUUUUGAUGGGCAGAGAAUUUUUGUUGUUUUAUUUUUGUGAAAUCCGAUUUAUUGCUUUUUUGCAGCUAGUGUUUUUUCUUUCAUCUCUAUAAAAUCUUGCCUAGCCUAAGAUUGUAAUAUAGUCUUCUGUGUUUUUUUUCUUCAUAAAACCUUUACAGCUUUAGCUUUUAUAAUUGAAUCUAUAAUUUAUCUACAUUAAUUUUGUGAAUAUUGUGAAUUGUGGCUAAGAAGAUUCAUUAUUUCCAUGGUUAUCUAGUUAUUCCAGCACUGUUUGUUCAAAAAGACUUUCCAUUGAAGUGUCUUUGAGCUUUUAUUGAAAUUAACUGACUAUGUGUGUAUUGAUUUCUUUCUGAGCUUUACUUUGUCCCAGGGAUCAGCUUGUAUAACCUUAUGCUAAUGCAAUACUAUCUUGAUUAUUGUGGCUUGCUGCAGGUCUUGAUAUAAAGUAAUAAUAUAAUUUAUCUGAAUUUGUUCUUUUUCAAGAUAGCUUUGGAAGUUCUUUAUUUCUUGUAUUUUCAUAUAAAUUUUAGAAUAAACUUGUGUAUUUCCACCAAAAAAAUGCAAAUUUCAUUUAGUUUGUAAUUAGGUCUAAUCAAACCAUAUUAAAUCUUCCAGUUCAUUAACAUGUUCUCUAUCUUCAUAAACUUGGGUCUUCUUUAAAUCUCUGAGGAAUAUGUUAGAAUGUUUAGUAGAGUUUCUGUAUCUUUUUGGGUAGUGCAGAGGGGGGCAUAAAGAAAGAAUGGUUAAUGGGUACAAAAAUACAGUUAAAAAGAAUAAGAUCUAGCAUUCAGUAGUACAAUAGCACAACUACAGUUAAUAAUUUAUGGUAUAUUUCAAAAUAACUAAAAGGGUGGAAUUGAAAUGUUCCUAACACAAAGAAAUGAUAAAUAUUUGAGGUGAUAGCUACCCUAAUUUGAUCAUUACAUGUUGUAUGCUUGUAUCAAAAUAUCACAUAUGCCCAUAAAUGUGUAUAACUCUUACGUAUCCAUAAUUAAAAUUUGUUAAAUAUAUAUGGUCUGUUUAUGCUAUUAUAAAUGGUAUAUUUACAUUUUCCAAAUGUUUGC